CAGUCGAACGGUAACAGGGUAGCAAUACCGCUGACGAGUGGCGCACGGGUGCGUAACACGUAUGCAAUCUACCCGCAACAGGGGCAUAGCCCGGAGAAAUCCGGAUUAAUUCCCCAUAAAACAGGGAUACCACAUGGUAAUAUUUGUUAAAACUCAGGUGGUUGCGGAUGAGCAUGCGGCCCAUUAGCCAGUUGGUGAGGUAACGGCUCACCAAAGCAACGAUGGGUAGGGGGUCUGAGAGGACGAUCCCCCACACGGGUACUGAGACACGGACCCGACUCCUACGGGAGGCAGCAGUGAGGAAUAUUGGACAAUGGAGGCAACUCUGAUCCAGCCAUGCCGCGUGAAGGAUGAAGGCGCUAUGCGUUGUAAACUUCUUUUCUACGGGAAGAAAAAGUCCGAUUCGUUCGGAUACUGACGGUACUGUAGGAAUAAGCAUCGGCUAACUCCGUGCCAGCAGCCGCGGUAAUACGGAGGAUGCAAGCGUUAUCCGGAUUCAUUGGGUUUAAAGGGUGCGCAGGCGGGACGGUAAGUCAGUGGUGAAAUCCGGCAGCUCAACUGCCGAAUUGCCAUUGAUACUGCUGUUCUUGAGUACAGUUGAAGUGGGCGGAAUAUGUCAUGUAGCGGUGAAAUGUGCAGAUAUGACAUAGAACACCGAUUGCGAAGGCAGCUCACUAAGCUGUUACUGACGCUCAGGCACGAAAGCGUGGGUAUCAAACAGGAUUAGAUACCCUGGUAGUCCACGCUGUAAACGAUGAUCACUCGAUGUUGGCGAUAUACAGUCAGCGUCUAAGCAAAAGCAUUAAGUGAUCCACCUGGGGAGUACGAUCGCAAGAUUGAAACUCAAAGGAAUUGACGGGGGCCCGCACAAGCGGUGGAGCAUGUGGUUUAAUUCGAUGGUACGCGAGGAACCUUACCAGGGCUUAAAUGUAGAACGACCGCACCGGAAACGGUGCCUUUCGCAAGAACGGUCUACAAGGUGCUGCAUGGCUGUCGUCAGCUCGUGCCGUGAGGUGUAGGGUUAAGUCCCAUAACGAGCGCAACCCCUAUCUUUAGUUGCCAGCGGAUAAUGCCGGGGACUCUAAAGAAACUGCCCGCGCAAGCGGUGAGGAAGGAGGGGACGAUGUCAAGUCAUCACGGCCCUUACGCUCUGGGCGACACACGUGCUACAAUGGCCGGUACAAAGGGCAGCUACACAGCAAUGUGAUGCUAAUCUCUAAAACCGGUCUCAGUUCGGAUUGGAGUCUGCAACCCGACUCCAUGAAGCUGGAAUCGCUAGUAAUCGCGCAUCAGCCAUGGCGCGGUGAAUACGUUCCCGGGCCUUGUACACACCGCCCGUCAAGCCAUGGAAGCUGGGGAUACCUGAAGUCAGUGCCGCAAGGCG
Molecule: ribosomal RNA, 1384 nt
Filed under: uncultured bacterium
Lineage: Bacteria
Description: bacterial SSU rRNA
Rfam family: Bacterial small subunit ribosomal RNA
Source: RNAcentral